GGAGUUAUAGCUCAGUGGUAGAGCACAUGCUUAGCAUGCACUAGGUCCUGGGUUUAAUCCCCAGUACCUCCA
Molecule: transfer RNA, 72 nt
Filed under: Camelus bactrianus (Bactrian camel)
Lineage: Eukaryota; Metazoa; Chordata; Mammalia; Artiodactyla; Camelidae
Also listed under: 2 other names
Rfam family: tRNA
About the family: Transfer RNA (tRNA) molecules are approximately 80 nucleotides in length.
Source: Rfam by way of RNAcentral